UUGGAGGGCAAGUCUGGUGCCAGCAGCCGCGGUAAUUCCAGCUCCAAUAGCGUAUAUUAAAGUUGUUGCAGUUAAAAAGCUCGUAGUUGAACUUCGGGGUUUACCCAUUGGUCAGGCUUAAUUGUCUGUACUGGUGAGAUGAAUCUCUACCUUCUGAGGAACUUUCAUGCCAUUUAUUUGGUGUGAUGGGAAAUCAGGACUGUUACUUUGAAAAAAUUAGAGUGUUUAAAGCAGGCUAACGUCUGAAUACAUUAGCAUGGAAUAAUGAAAUAGGACGGACUGAUUCUAUUUCGUUGGUUUCUAGGAUCACCGUAAUGAUUAAUAGGGAUAGUUGAGGGCAUUAGUAUUCAAUUGUCAGAGGUGAAAUUCUUGGAUUUAUUGAAGACUAACUACUGCGAAAGCAUUUGCCAAGGAUGUUUUCAUUAAUCAAGAACGAAAGUUAGGGGAUCGAAGACGAUCAGAUACCGUCGUAGUCUUAACCAUAAACUAUGCCGACUAGGGAUCGGACGAAGUUAAUUUUAUAAUGACGCGUUCGGCACCUUACAGGAAACCAAAGUGUUUGGGUUC
This 567-nucleotide ribosomal RNA is filed under the name uncultured Glomeromycotina. RNAcentral's name for it is "SSU rRNA". It matches the Rfam family "Eukaryotic small subunit ribosomal RNA", at positions 548 to 1114 of the family's 1831-position model. The record is from RNAcentral. Lineage: Eukaryota; Fungi; Glomeromycota.